GGUUGGUUGGUGCUGGGGCCGCCCCGCCUGGGCUGAGUCCUUUCAGGGGCCUCGCGGCGCCGUGCACUUCCCGCCUGGCUGGGCCCCGGGGCUGUGCGUGGGUGUCCGAGCCCCGGAGCGGGAGGGAGCCCUAUUGCCCCAGCGGAACAAUAGAAGGGCAGAGACCUGGGCUUAGUUAGAGUGGACUUCCCCGUUGCCUUUGCUCGCCCAGUGUGAUCGAAACACUAGGAAGGCAGGCACAGCAUGCGACUGGUUUAGCACAAGCCGCCCCCCCCCCGCCCCUUAACUUCAGCUUUCUUUCCAAAAGGUCCCAUCAGGGGCAGAACACCCCGAAGUGGCAGACAGGAAAGAACAUGCAGUAGGGAGCCUGGCAUCCAGACCUGGUCACUAAUGAUCUCUGGGUAGAAUUAACAAGUAAAAAUAGAAUAAUAUCUUCUAGGAAGUUGGAGUCAAUCUUCUUGCCUGCAGAUACCUCUUGGCUCAUCCUAUAAAAUGGUAUUUCAGAAGCCUCCAGAUGGUGGAUGGGGCUGGGUGAUAGUUGUAGUUUCCUUCUUUACUCAGUUCUUGUGUUAUGGAUCUCCGCUAGCAGUUGGAGUCUUGUAUUUGGAAUGGCUGGAUGCUUUUGGAGAAGGG
Long non-coding RNA from Gavialis gangeticus (Gharial), 633 nucleotides. RefSeq lists it as uncharacterized. The record is from RefSeq and is a predicted model, not a curated record. Lineage: Eukaryota; Metazoa; Chordata; Crocodylia; Gavialidae. The transcript is spliced from 4 exons.